RNAcentral lists this small nucleolar RNA (91 nucleotides) under Dipodomys ordii (Ord's kangaroo rat). RNAcentral's name for it is "Small nucleolar RNA SNORA25 (ENSDORG00000022409.2)". The record is from RNAcentral. Lineage: Eukaryota; Metazoa; Chordata; Mammalia; Rodentia; Heteromyidae.
UGGUAAUAAAUAAUGCUGUGACCAAAGAUAGAAGUUCUACAUAGGAUGCAAUAGUCAUAGUAGUACUAUGUUUUCUAGAGGAGAUAUACUG